CAUACCAAAGUCAUGUAUGCGUACCCUGACCUGAUAGUGGGUCCAACCAGCUUGGAUACAUAGAAAAUGGCAACCAACGGAGAGACCCAGAAUUGUAAUGACAUGUUUCAGAAUACCAAAAUUGUAAUGGUAUUUCUCCAACUUCGAAGAAUUGUAAUGGCUUAAAUAAAAAAAAACUUUUUUUUUACAAAGACACUCAAAAGAGUAGUGACAAUUAUAAUAGGACAGAUGAAGUAGUGACCAUGCCAAUACUAGGAAACUAUACUGGUACGAUUGGGAAAAAUGAGAGACUUGGACUUAGCAGCAUGCAACUUAAUUCAUUCACAGCGGAGGAGGCAUGGUAUUUUACUUUUUUUUUCUUCAACUCUUCAUCCUUAAUUUUCUAACGGGAGAAUCAAAAUUUCCCGAGUGUCGC
RNAcentral lists this long non-coding RNA (415 nucleotides) under Sorghum bicolor (sorghum). RNAcentral's name for it is "long non-coding RNA (SBIC_LNC002016)". The record is from RNAcentral. Lineage: Eukaryota; Viridiplantae; Streptophyta; Magnoliopsida; Poales; Poaceae.